AGUCUCCAGUCUCUGCGAGGAGAGUGGAAGAGGGCAGUGUUGAUGAGGGUAGGUACCGCGGGGGGAGGGGAACUGCCGCAGCCGACCGGGGAGGAGAAUUACCCUUCCGGGAUGGGAAACGAGAGGAACGAACACGGGAGGGGAGGAGACGGAGGCUGUUCGGGGGGGAGGGUUUGUAGCAGCAGCUGGGCGAGACCUCGCUGUCUUCGGCAUCACGUACCGUGUCUUCGCGUCCGACAGAGCCGGUAACGGCGGCAGGAGCCUCGAGCGUUUUUUCCGCACUUUCUCAACCCCGUUGGUAGGGUUUUCAUCCACCCGUUUCGAGUUGUACGUCAGUGUAACUCAUAAUCAAAGUACCGUACUUUCUCAAAGUCAUAAAAGGCCCAUGGUGUGCUACUCCACACCUACACAGAAGGUCUAGUCUAAGAUGUCACAUCAACCCAUUAGGUUCGUUUAUAGACAAUCGAAAAGAGAUGAUAGACUAGUACAACAGUGUUUCAAACCUCUAUCAUAGUUUUCUUAUUAUUUCCUUUUAAGAACUUCUUGUUUCCUAUAGUAAACUAACUUAGUCACAACAUUCUAAUUUCUAAAUACCACAAC
This 600-nucleotide ribosomal RNA is filed under the name Triticum aestivum (bread wheat). Its description in RNAcentral is "partial small subunit ribosomal RNA". The record is from RNAcentral. Lineage: Eukaryota; Viridiplantae; Streptophyta; Magnoliopsida; Poales; Poaceae.